GACGAACGCUGGCGGCGUGCUUAACACAUGCCAGUCGAACGGAAAGGCCCUGCUUUUGUGGCGUUCUCGAUUGGCGAACGGGUGAGUAUCACGUGAGUAACCUGCCCUUGACUUUGGGGUAACUUCAGGAAACUGGGUCUCAUACCGGAUAUGAUCUCCUGCUCCAUGUUGGGGGUUGGAAAGUUUCGGCGGUUGGGGCUGGACUCGCUGCUUAUCGGCUUCUUUGUGAGGUAGUGGAUUACGAAGGCUUUGACGGGUAGCCGGCCUGGGAGGGUUACCGGGCACAAUGGGACUGAGAGACGGCGCAGAAUCCUACGGGAGGCAGCAGGGGGGAAUAUUGCAGAGUGGGGGGAAGCCAGAUGCAGCAACGCCGGGUGCGGGAUGACGGCCUUCGGGUUGUAAACCGAUUUCGACGGUGACGAAGAGAGAGUGACGGUAAUGGGUAAAGAAGCACCGGCUAACUACGUG
Molecule: ribosomal RNA, 468 nt
Filed under: uncultured bacterium
Lineage: Bacteria
Description: partial 16S ribosomal RNA
Rfam family: Bacterial small subunit ribosomal RNA
Source: RNAcentral